Vespa mandarinia (Asian giant hornet) is the source of this 316-nucleotide long non-coding RNA. RefSeq lists it as uncharacterized. The record is from RefSeq and is a predicted model, not a curated record. Lineage: Eukaryota; Metazoa; Arthropoda; Insecta; Hymenoptera; Vespidae.
AUUUUAAUUCAUUCGUAUUACCACUAGGUGCACUAGUACAAAAUUUCUCCGUCAGAGAGCACUUUCUGUAAUAUCUGCGUAAGUAUCUAGUAACACUUCAUUCUCUGUCUAUCAUAACCUUCAUAAAUCAUUUGGAUAGCGUGGAGAGAAGUAGUACAAAGAAUGCUUCCUAAGAAAAAAGACAACUCCAAACUAACAGGAUAAGAGUAACAUGCACUUUGGAAUACAAAAACGUAAGCAAUUUGUGUUAAAAAAAAGAAUACAUUGUAUCUAUCAGUAUAAUAAGAAAUAAAUAUAAAAUAUAACAAACAAUCAA